RNAcentral lists this ribosomal RNA (395 nucleotides) under uncultured bacterium. Its description in RNAcentral is "partial 16S ribosomal RNA". It matches the Rfam family "Bacterial small subunit ribosomal RNA", at positions 523 to 918 of the family's 1533-position model. The record is from RNAcentral.
CUACGUAGGGUGCAAGCGUUAAUCGGAAUUACUGGGCGUAAAGCGUGCGCAGGCGGUUUUGUAAGACAGAGGGGAAAUCCCCGGGCUCCACCUGGGAACUGCCUCUGUGACUGCAAGGCUAGAGUACGGCAGAGGGGGAUGGAAUUCCGCGUGUAGCAGGGAAAUGCGUAGAUAUGCGGAGGAACACCGAUGGCGAAGGCAAUCCCCUGGGCCUGUACUGACGCUCAUGCACGAAAGCGUGGGGAGCAAACAGGAUUAGAUACCCUGGUAGUCCACGCCCUAAACGAUGUCAACUGGUUGUUGGGUCUUCAUUGACUCAGUAACGAAGCUAACGCGUGAAGUUGACCGCCUGGGGAGUACGGCCGCAAGGUUGAAACUCAAAUGAAUUGACGGGG